RNAcentral lists this long non-coding RNA (2709 nucleotides) under Sus scrofa (pig). RNAcentral describes it as "lncRNA (ENSSSCG00060012074.1)". The record is from RNAcentral. Lineage: Eukaryota; Metazoa; Chordata; Mammalia; Artiodactyla; Suidae.
GGGCCGAGUGCGGGAGAGGACAUGCGUCUUUAUCCCACAGCAGAGGGAAACCUCCCCAGGCCUCUAGUCCAGGCCUGACCCCUAUCGGGGUGGCCUUUGGGAGGGAGGGUCCCUUGGGAUGCUAGGUAAAGAUCGGGGAGGUCAGGGCGGCAGGAGCCGGGCUGGCAGGAGGCUGACGGUCCCUGCAGGUGCAUAAAGGUGCAGGAGAACUGGCAAGACCCCAAGAAUGGAUAUGCCUCCUUAAACGUGUGUCCUGUGUGCCCCGCUCACCUUACCCGAGACCCAGCCCCAGCCCCGGUCACAGAGGGAGAAAUUUGAAUAUAAGACACAAUGGAAAUAGCAAAACCAGUUCCACUCUCCUUAGUCUUCUAAACAGAAAGAGGGAUUCGAUGUGGGAAGCAGUAAAAGUUUAUUCCACACCAGGAGAUUUUAUGUUUUUGCCCCUAGAGCACUUUUCCCCUUGUUUUACUCGUGUUUUGGAAAUCUAGAAGACUUGCAAGUAUGGAGGAAAACAAUGAAAACAGCCUAACUGUUGGAUAUUUUUAAAAGAAAAUUCAGCAGAGCAGUUUACCCCCUUCCAGAUGUGGUUUCGCAUGGGCACAGUGGGACGGAAACUAGAUUCUCAACAGCAAAAGCCUUAUUUUCACUGAGAGUGGUUGAAGGAAAAUUAUUGUAUGCUGUUAAAAGAACUGAAAAACAGCAUGUGAAUCUCAUCAGCUGGAUAUAUUGUGACAACAUCAGCUGAUUGUUAUGCAUCUCAAAAUAUGAAACUCCAUCAAUUUUUCUAAAUUUGCUUUUGCACAUCAGUGGAACUUGAGCGAGCUAUCUAUCUAUCUACCUACCUAUCUAUCUAUCUAUCUAUCUAUCUAUCUAUCUAUCUAUCUAUCUAUCAUCUAGUCUAGAAAGCUGAGAAGGAAAGCAGAGACCAAAAGCCCAGCUGGAAGGGCACCUGUUGGCUGCAUCUGUUGACUGCACCUGUUAGUAGCAUCAGGAGGCACACCUGCACAAGGUGUGGAGUAGUCUGGGGGCUUGUGGGAGAGGGAGAUGAUCUGAUCGACACCACCAGUCUUCCCGCAUCCUCAGCACCACCUCCAUCCUCAUCGGAUGUAGAUACACUAUCCAGCCUCAGUGACUCGCUCCAGCUCACGCACCUGCUACAUGGACAUCGUGGAGGCCAAGCUUCUGAUCUUGGCAGGACAGUGGCUCUGCACAGCUGACCAUUUGACACCCCAGGACCUAGGGAUGGACAUGGUGAAAUAUAACAUUCUGAUCUGGCCCUAAAUCUGCUGCUUGGUCACAGAAGGCCAAGGGAAGGCUUAUGCGGUUAAGGGAAAAAACUCACCCGAAGCAUAUCAAGUGUUGUCUGCUGUCAUCAGGCUCUGAGCAGUUCUCUCUACAAUGAUGCUUAGAAAACCAGGAAGAAAUACUCCCACCUCCAAGGCUGUGUUGCUAAGUGUGUGUUUCCAGAGUUGCCUUGGGCAAAGUCCGUUGCCCAUCACCACAGCUUCGGGUCAUCGCUGCCACGAGGACUCCCCCUUCACAGGUCAGCUGCACCCAGCACCCAUCAAAACCACACGGAGAUCACCUGUGACAACCGGGGAACAGACAACUUUGCACGUUCAUGCCCCAGGUGUUAGUGCAGGUGCUCUCGGGUGAUGGGCUUAAACCUGCCCUGAACUCUCUCUGUGUGUGUUAAAGCUUUCAAAUAUGAAACAUUUCUGCCCUGGGCAGGACAAUAGGUCCACACAGCUGACCACGUGACACCCACGACCCUUUCAAAUAUUUCUAAAAGUUUCAGAUUCUCUAAUUUUCGUUCUUGGCCUUUUGUUGUUGUUGUAACUUUUUUAAAAGGAAGAAGGGAAUCCACGCUUCCCUGCCUGCUUGGCCUGAGUUGACGUCCUUGCUCUGGGCUGUGAGGUCUACAUACCUGGCCCUGCAAGGUUCAGCCCCACGCAUGGACCUUCUGUGUCUGCAACCUCCCAGCAUCAGCACGAAAAAGCAACCUGCCGUAGAGAGCGGGGGUGUGGUCCAGCAGUCCUGCACCUGCUGGGAUGUGGAUGAGGCGCAUGCUGAGAACAACCCGGUGGGAAAGGCCUACUUUCUCAAGUGCUCCUUCUGGGAAAACAGCCCCAGGUGUUCAGAGACCAGCUGCAGACCAAACGGCAAAGCUGCAGACCAUCCCCCGCCGGCCUUUGUGACCAAGAAGAAACACCCUGUGAGUUAAGUGUCCAGUUAAAACAUGGAGAGGCCAAGGUGAUGGCUGAGCGGCACUCAGUGUUGGGUCCUUCUGGCUUGGGAAGGGCACGCCCCGUGCCUUGAGCCCUUUGUCACACGUUUUUGUUCCAUGAAACAGAUAAUUGCUGAUUUGGGGACGAUAACCUCAGAUACUAGCUAAACCAUUUUUGAACUUCCCAAGGAGCCUUUACUCGCUGUCAUUUGAUCCCACCCUUCCCGGCUUUUCAUUCCUGAUCCCACUUGUUUACAGUGAAUUUAAUCUCUGUCAUACUGAGGGUUUAGUGGGACAAAUCCCAACCUCCCUGGCCAUGUGACCACAUCAGCUCAGCCCAGAAAAGGGGCUUUAAAUGUGUCUAUCUCUCGAAAGAACAAACAGUCUCAAGGCUUUAAAACUCCCCCUGUAAAGAGUCUUUAAAGGACAUCAGCCCUUGGAGUGAUAGGGGGACCACCCCGGGACAGGAUAAACCAGGUUUU